Molecule: ribosomal RNA, 449 nt
Filed under: uncultured bacterium
Lineage: Bacteria
Description: partial 16S ribosomal RNA
Rfam family: Bacterial small subunit ribosomal RNA
Source: RNAcentral
AACGAACGCUGGCGGCAUGCCUAACACAUGCAAGUCGAACGAGAUCUUCGGGUCUAGUGGCGCACGGGUGCGUAACGCGUGGGAAUCUGCCCUUUGGUUCGGAAUAACAGUUGGAAACGACUGCUAAUACCGGAUGAUGACGAAAGUCCAUGGAUUUAUCGCCAGAGGAUGAGCCCGCGUAGGAUUAGCUAGUUGGUGUGGUAAAGGCGCACCAAGGCGACGAUCCUUAGCUGGUCUGAGAGGAUGAUCAGCCACACUGGGACUGAGACACGGCCCAGACUCCUACGGGAGGCAGCAGUGGGGAAUAUUGGACAAUGGGCGAAAGCCUGAUCCAGCAAUGCCGCGUGAGUGAUGAAGGCCUUAGGGUUGUAAAGCUCUUUUACCCGGGAUGAUAAUGACAGUACCGGGAGAAUAAGCUCCGGCUAACUCCGUGCCAGCCGCCGCUGUAA